AGUGAACGCUGGCGGUAGGCCUAACACAUGCAAGUCGAACGGCAGCACAGUAAGAGCUUGCUCUUACGGGUGGCGAGUGGCGGACGGGUGAGGAAUACAUCGGAAUCUACUUUUUCGUGGGGGAUAACGUAGGGAAACUUACGCUAAUACAGCAUACGACCUACGGGUGAAAGCAGGGGAUCUUCGGACCUUGCGCGAUUGAAUGAGCCGAUGUCGUAUUAGCUAGUUGGCGGGGUAAAGGCCCACCAAGGCGGCGAUCCGUAGCUGGUCUGAGAGGAUGGUCGGCCACCCUGGAACUGAGACACGGACCAGACUCCUACGGGAGGGAGCAGUGGGGAAUAUUGGACAAUGGGCGCAAGCCUGAUCCAGCCAUACCGCGUGGGUGAAGGAGGCCUUCGGGUUGGAAAGCCCUUUUGUUGGGAAAGAAAAGCAGCAGGUUAAUACCCCGCUGUUCUGACGGUACCCAAAGAAUAAGCACCGGCUAACUUCGUG
This 492-nucleotide ribosomal RNA is filed under the name uncultured bacterium. Its description in RNAcentral is "partial 16S ribosomal RNA". It matches the Rfam family "Bacterial small subunit ribosomal RNA", at positions 29 to 507 of the family's 1533-position model. The record is from RNAcentral.